UCCGAUUAAAUGAUGACUUCAUAGUUCAGCUGAAUGUUUUGAUGUAUACUCUGCUUAUGUCUUUCGCUCCUAUCUGAUAAUCGUA
Small nucleolar RNA from Cydia strobilella, 85 nucleotides. RefSeq annotates it as small nucleolar RNA snR60/Z15/Z230/Z193/J17. Lineage: Eukaryota; Metazoa; Arthropoda; Insecta; Lepidoptera; Tortricidae. The record is from RefSeq and is a predicted model, not a curated record. The transcript has a single exon.